Molecule: ribosomal RNA, 257 nt
Filed under: uncultured bacterium
Lineage: Bacteria
Description: partial 16S ribosomal RNA
Rfam family: Archaeal small subunit ribosomal RNA
Source: RNAcentral
UAACACCGGCAGCUCUAGUGGUAGCAGUUUUUAUUGGGCCUAAAGCGUCCGUAGCCGGUUUAAUAAGUCUCUGGUGAAAUCCUGCAGCUUAACUGUGGGAAUUGCUGGAGAUACUAUUAGACUUGAGAUCGGGAGAGGUUAGAGGUACUCCCAGGGUAGAGGUGAAAUUCUGUAAUCCUGGGAGGACCGCCUGUUGCGAAGGCGUCUGACUGGAACGAUUCUGACGGUGAGGGACGAAAGCUAGGGGCGCGAACCGG